AGCAGCCGCGGUAAUUCCAGCUCCAAUAGCGUAUAUUAAAGUUGCUGCAGUUAAAAAGCUCGUAGUUGAAUUUCGGGACCAUCAUGUCGGUCGUGCCUCGGUACGUACUGGCAUUGUUGGUUUCUCCCUUCUGAAGAACCAUGAUGUCAUUAAUUUGGUGUCGUGGGGAAUCAGGACUGUUACUUUGAAAAAAUUAGAGUGUUUAAAGCAGGCGCACGCUUGAAUACAUUAGCAUGGAAUAAUGAAAUAGGACGUUUGAUUCUAUUUUGUUGGUUUCUAGGAUCGACGUAAUGAUUAAUAGGGAUAGUUGGGGGCAUUAGUAUUCAAUUGUCAGAGGUGAAAUUCUUGGAUUUUAUUGAAG
Molecule: ribosomal RNA, 361 nt
Filed under: uncultured Glomus
Lineage: Eukaryota; Fungi; Glomeromycota; Glomeromycetes; Glomerales; Glomeraceae
Description: SSU rRNA
Rfam family: Eukaryotic small subunit ribosomal RNA
Source: RNAcentral